This is a long non-coding RNA of Passer domesticus (house sparrow), 706 nucleotides long. RefSeq lists it as uncharacterized. The record is from RefSeq and is a predicted model, not a curated record. The transcript is spliced from 3 exons. NCBI's taxonomy places the organism in Eukaryota, Metazoa, Chordata, Aves, Passeriformes, Passeridae.
CUGGGAAUAUGGAGCUAGGACUGUUAUGAACAUGUUCAGAGACAAAUGCAUCAAGGGAUAAAAUUACUGGUGUUAUUUGGCCCUUGAAUGAGCAAAGCAGGAGUAAGUUGUUGCAGCUCUAAAGUCAUCCUGCUGCCACCCACCACUGCUCCCGGGCUGGUGGGGCUCAAAGGUGGCCACACUGGGACACAGCCCCAAACACUCCGGUGGCUGGCCAUGUCUUGAAAACAAAGACUGAAGAUGAGCUGAAGAUGUGCAAAUUAUGUGAACAGCAGCUAAAAUCCUGAAGGGUUGACUGCUGAAACUUUUGUUCCCAUUUCAGUGUUUCCACUCUAUUUUGUCGUGCUGCCACAAACCAGGCCAUCUGACAAUAUCAAACAUGAUCCCAGUGCUUGAAAUGUUGAUUGGAGGCUAAGCAGGAUGUACUCCAACAUGGCAUUAUGGAGAGAAAGUGGAAAGGACUCAGGUAGAAAGGAAGGCACAGAGAGUUAAAAUCACCCAGGUCUCCAUAUUUACUAUUCUCCAGAACACUCUGAAGCAGCCUAACAUUUCUUUCUGUUUUACGGCUUGAGUUUUAAAUUUAUUAUAGUAUUUCAGUAAUAUUGAUCUUCAGCUCAUUUGUUUGACUGUAUUUGCUAAAAUGAACUGAAAUAAAGAGCUGUGCAAAAUAACCGCUAAAAAUUUAGCAUUUUUUCUUAUGGAAAGA